CCUACGGGUGGCAGCAGUGAGGAAUAUUGGUCAAUGGACGAGAGUCUGAACCAGCCAAGUAGCGUGAAGGAUGACUGCCCUAUGGGUUGUAAACUUCUUUUAUAUGGGAGUAAAAUGUUCCACGUGUGGGAUUUUGUAUGUACCAUAUGAAUAAGGAUCGGCUAACUCCGUGCCAGCAGCCGCGGUAAUACGGAGGAUCCGAGCGUUAUCCGGAUUUAUUGGGUUUAAAGGGAGCGUAGGUGGAUUGUUAAGUCAGUUGUGAAAGUUUGCGGCUCAACCGUAAAAUUGCAGUUGAAACUGGCAGUCUUGAGUAAAGGAGAGGUGGGCGGAAUUCGUGGUGUAGCGGUGAAAUGCUUAGAUAUCACGAAGAACUCCGAUUGCGAAGGCAGUUCACUGGACUGCAACUGACACUGAGGCUCGAAAGUGUGGGUAUCAAACAGGAUUAGAUACCCCUGUAGUC
RNAcentral lists this ribosomal RNA (460 nucleotides) under uncultured bacterium. Its description in RNAcentral is "partial 16S ribosomal RNA". It matches the Rfam family "Bacterial small subunit ribosomal RNA", at positions 338 to 795 of the family's 1533-position model. The record is from RNAcentral.